UACGGGGGGAGCAAGCGUUGUUCGGAUUUACUGGGCGUAAAGGGCGCGUAGGCGGUCAGCACAAGUCAGUUGUGAAAUCUCCGGGCUUAACUCGGAAAGGUCAACUGAUACUGUGCGACUAGAGUGCAGAAGGGGCAACUGGAAUUCUCGGUGUAGCGGUGAAAUGCGCAGAUAUCAGGAGGAACACCAGUGGCGAAGGCGGCUCGCUGGACCGGUUCUGACGCUGAGGCGCGAAAGCGUGGGGAGCAAACAGG
This 254-nucleotide ribosomal RNA is filed under the name uncultured bacterium. RNAcentral describes it as "partial 16S ribosomal RNA". It matches the Rfam family "Bacterial small subunit ribosomal RNA", at positions 524 to 776 of the family's 1533-position model. The record is from RNAcentral.